CCUACGGGAGGCUGCAGUGGGGAAUAUUGCACAAUGGGGGAAACCCUGAUGCAGCGACGCCGCGUGAGUGAAGAAGUAAUUCGGUAUGUAAAGUUCUAUCAGCAGGGAAGAAAAUGAUGGUACUUGAGUAAGAAGCCCCGGCGAACUACGUGCCAGCAGCCGCGGUAAUACGUAGGGGGCAAGCGUCAUCCGGAUUUACUGGGUGUAAAGGGAGCGUAGACGGGAGUGCAAGUCAGGAGUGAAAGGCGAAGGCUCAACCCCCGUACUGCUCUGGAAACUGUUCGGCUGGAGUGCAGGAGGGGUAAGUGGAAUUCCUAGUGUAGCGGUGGAAUGCGUAGAUAUUAGGAGGAACACCAGUGGCGAAGGCGGGUUACUGGACUGUAACUGACGUUGAGGCUCGAAAGCGUGGGGAGCAAACAGGAUUAGAUACCCGGGUAGUC
RNAcentral lists this ribosomal RNA (440 nucleotides) under uncultured bacterium. RNAcentral's name for it is "partial 16S ribosomal RNA". It matches the Rfam family "Bacterial small subunit ribosomal RNA", at positions 338 to 795 of the family's 1533-position model. The record is from RNAcentral.